RNAcentral lists this long non-coding RNA (2311 nucleotides) under Citrus x clementina. RNAcentral's name for it is "Citrus clementina (C. clementina) long non-coding RNA (CCLE_LNC003924)". Lineage: Eukaryota; Viridiplantae; Streptophyta; Magnoliopsida; Sapindales; Rutaceae. The record is from RNAcentral.
UAUAAACUUGAAAAAAAUAAAACAAUUUGACAUACGUUUUUAAAAAAAAAAAAUUAGUAUGUUAUUUUUAUUAGGCACGGCCCACGGCACAGCACCUGUGGUAGGCCACGCCUAAAUAAAAAAAAUAAACAUGACACGAUACAGUAUGAAGCGCAUAAUGAAUACAGUACGACACAAAUAUGAGUAGGGUUUCUUUGAUGGGCGUGGGCCGGCGUGGCAUGAGCCGUUGGCCACCUCUGGUUUCAUCCACAUCCUUUUGGAAGAUACCAUCGAUCCAUUUGUAGAGGUUACGAAAGAAAGUGAUACUUUAUGCUCCUGCAGUUUUGAGUGUAGGAUAUGUAUAAAAGUAAUUGCUGUUUUCAAUAAAUUAAUUUACUCCUGAGGAUUAAAAAUGUAUGAACUAAUGGUUAGAAAAAUACAACCCGAUCCUGCCACGUGCCAAAGCUUGAUUGCUUGUGAUGAUGGCGGGUUGGACAAUAAAUACAUAAAGAUAGAUAUACAAAUAUGUUCCGAUUAUGAAGGCGGGUUAACAUUCUCCACCUGGAUGGAAUACAGAAAUAAUCAUCAUCUCUUCCAAGUUCCAAGAAAAAGACGUAACAAGCGUCAACAAAGAGACGUGGCAAGCGUCAACAAGUCGCUCUGAUUAAAUAAAUGCUAUUACGACCACCUCAAUUGCAAUGCAGUUGGUUGGUCAUUGUCCGUCAAUCGAGCGAUAAAACUGAGAUUUACAUGAUUUGAUCUGUAGUAUAAGUGUCUAACUGAGGCUCAUUCAUUGAAUAGUGACACAGAGCAAUAAAUUCUCGUACAGAUAUAUAUUUACAUAAAUUGAUAUAGAUUAAAUUUACUAAUUCAAUAAAAAUAAAUAAUGUAAGUUAGAAAUUAUUUAAUCUAACUAAUUGAAUUAUAUUAGAGUUGUAUAAAAAUUUUUGUAAUUUUAUCUUUAUUUUUCAUUGGAAUUGUUAAUUUAUUGGGUUGACCAAACAAAACUUAUUUAGAAAAUCAAAUACUCUCAUAGAUCUCCUAUUAUUAUUUGAGAAUUAUCAUCCCCUCCCUUCAAAAAUUUUCUGAUGGAAAUGAGGAAGAGACAGAGACAUAUACAAAAUAUUAAGAAUGAGAACGAGAGUGUUGAUCCCCUCCCUUCCCCUCCCCAUUGUCAUCCCUAUGUCCAAUAUAUCUCCAUCAAUAUAUAUUAUGAUUAGUUCUUAUGUGAAGAAGGAAAAAGAUUGCAAUUAUAUGUAAAAAGUUGGCUGGAGUCUUUAAUGUGAAUAAUUCUUAGGGUAGAACAAUUUGAACCCAUAAAAAUUCUUUCAACACCCACUUUUUUUAAUUAAAAUAAUUAUAAGUUAUAUCCUAUUGUUUUAAUUCAUUAAUUCUCAUAAAUUACAAAAUUACCCUUGAUCAAAUACUUUCUCUCUCUACUAUAACAAUGUUCAAAACAUAAAAUAGUUUCACUCUAUUUCAAUUUUUUUUUAUUCUUUCUUAGUAAAUCAACUUAUCUUUUUCUUAGUUUUCUCUACAACAUGAUCAGUUUUUACCUAUUAUUACUAUUUAGAGGCUGUACUUCUAAGAUUUGACCCAAAAAAAAAAAAAAUUCUAAUAGAUUUAAAGUGAUGUAGAAAUAGGGAUGGCAAUGGGGAGGGGAGGGGAGAUGACCAAUCUCCCCGUACUCAUCCCCGAUAUUUUGCGUAUGUCCCCGUCCCCUCUCCAUCCCUGUCAAAAUUAUUUAAGAGAAUCUCCAUCCCCUCCCCGAAUAAUAACAGGGGAUCCCCGAGGGUCCCCGAUCCCCGAAUAACUAAUAUAUUUUUUUUUGUUUUCGAUUUUAAGUUAAUCAUAUUAAAAUUCAAAUAAAAGUAAAGUUCGAAAUAUAUUUUACAUUAGUAUCCAUUACAAAAGUCACAUACAUUAAAUUAGUAAGUAACGUAGCAUACAAUGGAUACAAACUAUCAUGAACAAAUUAAUAGCCUAAUACAAAAUUGUUACAAAUAAAAUUAAAUUUAGAUUCAAAAUUAACUUUUCAAUGGUGGCGUGGGCAUUUUAUAAAUGUGGACUAUUCCCUUUACAGCACAAUAGUUAAGUCAAAGCAAAUCAAGAGCAAAUAUUAUAUUAGAUUAGAUAUUAAAAUUGUGAUUUGCUGUGAGCAAUUAUAACAUCUAAAAAUAAAUAAAAAAAUAGAUUUAAGUUUAAAAUAUUUAAUGAAUAUUCAAAUUAAAACAAAAGUUUUGGGCUAAUAGAAUCUGUUCGGUCUUUUUAAUGUCCUAAAUAAAAAUUUAGGACUUUAAUUAAUUAAUUAGGCCUAAAAGUUUAAUAAUAU